CAGUAGCCGCGGGAAACCGGAGGGAGCUAGCGUUGUUCGGAAUUACUGGGCGUAAAGCGCGCGUAGGCGGUUACUCAAGUCAGAGGUGAAAGCCCGGGGCUCAACCCCGGAACUGCCUUUGAAACUAGGUGACUAGAAUCUUGGAGAGGUCAGUGGAAUUCCGAGUGUAGAGGUGAAAUUCGUAGAUAUUCGGAAGAACACCAGUGGCGAAGGCGACUGACUGGACAAGUAUUGACGCUGAGGUGCGAAAGCGUGGGGAGCAAACAGGAUUAGAUACCCGUGUAGUCCCUGUCUCUUAUAA
This 301-nucleotide ribosomal RNA is filed under the name uncultured bacterium. RNAcentral describes it as "partial 16S ribosomal RNA". It matches the Rfam family "Bacterial small subunit ribosomal RNA", at positions 509 to 809 of the family's 1533-position model. The record is from RNAcentral.